CCUACGGGCGGCUGCAGUCGAGAAUCAUUCACAAUGGGGGAAACCCUGAUGGUGCGACGCCGCGUGGGGGAAUGAAGGUCUUCGGAUUGUAAACCCCUGUCAUGUGGGAGCAAAUUAAAAAGAUAGUACCACAAGAGGAAGAGACGGCUAACUCUGUGCCAGCAGCCGCGGUAAUACAGAGGUCUCAAGCGUUGUUCGGAAUCACUUGGCGUAAAGCGUGCGUAGGCUGUUUCGUAAGUCGUGUUUGAAAGGGGCGGGCUCAACCCGCGGAUGGGACAUGAUACUGGGAGACUAGAGUGAUGGAGGGGGAACGGGGAUUCUGGGUGGAGGAGGGAAAUGCGUAGAUAUCGAGAGGAACACUCGUGGCGAAGGCGGGUUCCUGGACAUUAACUGACGCUGAGGGACGAAGGCCAGGGGAGCGAAAGGGAUUAGAUACCCCGUGUAGUC
RNAcentral lists this ribosomal RNA (447 nucleotides) under uncultured bacterium. Its description in RNAcentral is "partial 16S ribosomal RNA". It matches the Rfam family "Bacterial small subunit ribosomal RNA", at positions 338 to 795 of the family's 1533-position model. The record is from RNAcentral.